Molecule: transfer RNA, 68 nt
Filed under: Theloderma corticale (Tonkin bug-eyed frog)
Lineage: Eukaryota; Metazoa; Chordata; Amphibia; Anura; Rhacophoridae
Description: partial tRNA-Val
Source: RNAcentral
CAAAAUGUAGCUUAACAAAAGCCCCUCGCUUACACCGAGAAAAUGUCUGUGCACUCGGAUCAUUUUGA